RNAcentral lists this ribosomal RNA (301 nucleotides) under uncultured bacterium. Its description in RNAcentral is "partial 16S ribosomal RNA". It matches the Rfam family "Bacterial small subunit ribosomal RNA", at positions 509 to 807 of the family's 1533-position model. The record is from RNAcentral.
CAGUCGCCGCGGGAAUACGAAGGGUGCAAGCGUUAAUCGGAAUUACUGGGCGUAAAGCGUGCGUAGGCGGUUUGUUAAGUCUGUUGUGAAAUCCCCGGGCUCAACCUGGGAAUGGCAAUGGAUACUGGCAAGCUAGAGUGUGUCAGAGGAUGGUGGAAUUCCCGGUGUAGCGGUGAAAUGCGUAGAGAUCGGGAGGAACAUCAGUGGCGAAGGCGGCCAUCUGGGACAACACUGACGCUGAGGCACGAAAGCGUGGGGAGCAAACAGGAUUAGAUACCCGGGUAGUCCCUGUCUCUUAUAC